RNAcentral lists this ribosomal RNA (449 nucleotides) under uncultured bacterium. RNAcentral's name for it is "partial 16S ribosomal RNA". It matches the Rfam family "Bacterial small subunit ribosomal RNA", at positions 29 to 523 of the family's 1533-position model. The record is from RNAcentral.
AAUGAACGCUGGCGGCAGGCCUAACACAUGCAAGUCGAACGAGGCAGCAAUGCCUAGUGGCGGACGGGUGAGUAACGCGUGGGAACGUGCCCCUUGGUACGGAAUAGCCCUGGGAAACUGGGAGUAAUACCGUAUGUGGUCGAGAGACGAAAGAUUUAUCGCCAAGGGAUCGGCCCGCGUUGGAUUAGGUAGUUGGUGGGGUAAUGGCCUACCAAGCCGACGAUCCAUAGCUGGUUUGAGAGGAUGAUCAGCCACGCUGGGACUGAGACACGGCCCAGACUCCUACGGGAGGCAGCAGUGGGGAGUCUUAGACAAUGGGGGAAACCCUGAUCUAGCCAUGCCGCGUGAACGAUGAAGGCCUUAGGGUUGUAAAGAUCUUUCAGUGGGGAAGAUAAUGACGGUACCCACAGAAGAAGCCCCGGCUAACUCCGUGCCAGCAGCCGCCGCAG